Homo sapiens (human) is the source of this 154-nucleotide small nuclear RNA. It matches the Rfam family "U2 spliceosomal RNA". From Rfam's summary of the family: U2 is a small nuclear RNA (snRNA) component of the spliceosome (involved in pre-mRNA splicing). Complementary binding between U2 snRNA (in an area lying towards the 5' end but 3' to hairpin I) and the branchpoint sequence (BPS) of the intron results the bulging out of an unpaired adenosine, on the BPS, which initiates a nucleophilic attack at the intronic 5' splice site, thus starting the first of two transesterification reactions that mediate splicing. NCBI's taxonomy places the organism in Eukaryota, Metazoa, Chordata, Mammalia, Primates, Hominidae. The record is from Rfam.
UUUACUUCCCGGCCUUUUGGCUAAGAUCAAGUGUAUUAUCGUGUCUAUGUUAAGCACAGUUUUUUGUUUGCUUGUUUUUGAAACAGAGUCUCACUCUGUAGCCCAGGCUGGAGUGCAGUGGCACGAUCUGGGCUCACUGCAACCUCCACUUCCU